This is a non-coding RNA of Guyanagaster necrorhizus, 80 nucleotides long. NCBI's taxonomy places the organism in Eukaryota, Fungi, Basidiomycota, Agaricomycetes, Agaricales, Physalacriaceae. The record is from the annotation of a RefSeq genome assembly.
UCCCUCUUAGCUCAGUUGGUAGAGCGCGUCACUAGUAUUUAUUAAUGACGAGGUCAGUCGUUCAAGUCGGCUAGAGGGAA